UUUCCUCUUUGUUUUUAAUAACCGCAGUCCUAAUGGGUGUGAAGUUGCUUCUCGUCGUGGUUCCGGUCUGCGUUCCGAGACGGCCCUUUAUUUCAGGUCGUCUCCCAGUGUUGAUGAGAGGGAGUCUCGGCGGCGUUUCUCCAGUGUUAACGUGCACACGAGUCCUCUCGGGAGCUUGUGGAAAUCCUGGUUCCGGAGAUCUGGAGUGCGGCCUCUGCAUUUCUAGCAAGCACCAGGGGUGCCAGUGACAAAAGCGGCCGGUCCGAAGGCCAUGCCGUGAGUCGCAAAGACAGAUGGGAAGAAGUGCGUUGGCUCCGGAGUCGGGCAGACCUGACUCGGGGAGGAUUCAGAGUCGUGGAUCCAGGGCCUCCUUGGCUAGAGCCGAGCACUUUCAGAUUCCUGGCACCUGCCGACAUCGUGGGAAGGAAGCAGCUGGGUGACUUUCUCGUCGCCACAGAAUGCAGGCUGUAAAGCCUGUGACUCUCUUCUAAGCUCUGCUGAAGUUCACACGUGUGCCUCUCUGUUCAUCCGUGAAGCCUUUCUAGGGACCCUCCAGCAGCGCACGGUGCCAGAAGCGGAAGCCAAGGCCUUACAGUGGGACUGACUCAGCUAGGACCAGAACUCCUCCCUUGGGGACCGAGCCAGGACACCCUGAUUGCCGAAUCCCCCCUGAUCUCUUAGCCUUCUGCUUUCUGCUGGAUGGAACUGGUGGAGCGUCUACCGGACGGGCUAUGGCCACAGCACCGGCUCCCAGCUCCUCGGCCCCAGGGCCUCUGGCCACCGCUCCACUUGCUCUUGCCGCGGAGGGAGGGGAUCCAAAGGCCUUCUUUAGGGUGAAGAGGCGACAUGUGUUCAGCAAAGUCUGGGCAGGAAAAAGAAAGCCUUUGGGUGGAGGGACCCAAAGAGCAGCUCCCACAGAAAGCCCAGCCGCGCCCACGCCACUGGGACAGACGUGAACGAGGUCUGGCCCCCCUUUCCUGGUUCCCACUCUGUAGGUGUCGGGGUGGGGGCUCCAGAAAGCCAACUUUGUAAUGGGUGUCCUAGGUGAAUUCUGAUAACCAAAAUGACAAGGAAAGGCAGGGGACACGGGGAGGGGGAGCUGCCAGCCGCUCGGGCCGGGCCGCGUGGCCUCCCCGUGAUCUGACCCCAGCUGACGUGCUCCCGGUGGGCCUGUCUCCCCCAUUCAUCCUCCGCUGGCUUCCCAGCAGGCGCUCGGGCCUUUCCUCACGCCGUCUGCCAAGCCAGCCUCCACCGCCCUGCCCUCUGCCAGUCCAGAUAUAAAUGUAGGAGCAUUUUCCAUGGGCCGGUACAGAAGGGCAAGCAUUUGACUUUAUUUUAGAGCCGCGAAAUUCCCUCCCUUCAUAUCCAACAGGUGCAUCGCCUCAUUUAGACAUCGGGACCUAGAAAUAGAACACAAUCUACAAUAUAGCUUCCUUCAGGCAUCUGGAUGCUAUUUAAAAAGAAAAAAAAAAAAGGCCUUCUGUGAGAUGGCGGGACACAGGCUGAUCGCCGGCUUGACCCGCUCAGCAGAGGAGCCCAGCGCUCUGGGAGACUGCUGGGAGGGACGGCUGCCCUGUGAGCGCAGGGCCCCUGCUCAGGACGACGGACAGGCGUGGGAAUGGGCACAGGAAGUGUUUCCAGUAAAUCCAUCAGUUAAAUCAACUGCACCCACCCACCAAACCUUUGUGGACUAAGGACAGAGGAGAUGACCCCAGGUGUCUCUUGGCAAACUCUGCUCAUGUCAGCUGUUGGGGGUAGAUGGUGUUGAAAUCCUGACCCCCAGGACCUCAGAAUGUCGCCCCAUUUGGAACCAGGUCUUGGAGUUGAUCCAGUUAAGAUGAUGUCAUCGGGGGGGUCCUAACCCAGUAGGCCGGGUGUCCUCAGGAAAAGGGGGAUUUGCACACAGAGACAGACGCACAGGCAGGAAGACGCCACGUGGGACGGAGGCAGAGAUGGGUGAUGGGUCUACCAGCCGAGGACGUGGAAGACGCCGGCAAGCCAGCAGGGGCUGAGAGAGGGGCCCCAGGAGGAACCGGCCAUGCUGGCACCUGGGUCUCAGACGUGCGGCCUCCAGACUGUGGGGGAGUGGACGUCUGUGGUUCAAGCCGGCUGGUAUGGGGAACUUGGUUACGCAGCCCCAGGACUCGGAUAUAUUAGCUAAGCCUCCCGCUCACACUGUCUGUCCCUCGGGGCGCGGCUGAUCCCUGCAGAGGGAAGGGAAUGUGAGGAAGGCUUUCCCAGAGGGCGUCUUCCUUCCACCUGCUGAUACAGUCUGGUACUUGCUGAAGCCACGGGCUCCUGGGUGGCCAGUUUCGUCAAGGUCACCCUUGGUCCUGAGAAGCCCAAGAUAACGGUCAAGUUUCCUCUGGGGUGUCCCCAAGGCUCCUCCAAUGGCUGUCGUCCAAGCAGCCCCAGAGGAGCCUCCAGCGGAAUCUGCAGGUGCCGUGUGGCCAGGGUGGGCCUGGUGGACGUUCCUCAGCAGGGCCACAGGGCUUGGGGCUGAGACGGGGACCUCCUGCCACUUGCCCUAUGGCCCCAUUCAGGGCCAGGACCAAGGUGCCUGACUUUGUCCCUCAGCCUGGGCCAGAAGUGGCGUUGCUGACAGCUGGCCAGCCCCUCUGCAGAGAGGAGCAGGUGUCCCCUCCGGGUGUCGAGAACUCAAUCAGUCUCCGUGAGACGCAGGCCGCCCUCCCGGGCCAGCCGGAGACGCCAAGAUGUGCUGGCAGGAGGGAGGACCAGCCCAGCAGGUGACCGCCCGGUGGUUGGAGGUGGAAAGAGGCUGCCCCGUGGGGGCAGGAGGCUGGGGAGGGGUCCCCUGUUGGCAUCUGAGUCUGUUUGAGAGGCCUGUCUUGGGCAGGGUCAAGGUCUGCCCCUCUCUCAGCUGGUGGACGCCUGCGGCUUCAGGAAAGGGCAGACAGAGGGGAGGUGAUGGUGCCACGGGCGGCCACGGACACAGUCCCUGGGCGAUGUGGUGGCCUCCGUAGAGAGUGGCAGACCCCGACUAGAUGGCCUUUUGAGCGCCCUGCCAGUGUGGGCACGCGCAGCCCACGGCUGCCUCUUCCCUGGGCCUUGAUCUCCCCAGCACGUCCACACCCCGUGGCUGCUCUCCCUCCCAGCUUGAUGCUGUUCCCAUUUCUGGUCUCUUUCUUCCGAAGACGGUGCCUCCCGCUCGUACUGGCGCCACGGCCUCCCACCAGUCCUGCCCUUCAUCCCUCCGUCCCACAGCUCCACGCCCUCGCCGUCCCUCCCCCACUCUGCGGCCAGAGGGCCACGUCAGCCACCUGCAGCCCCUCAAGGACAGCUCCACGCUCAGCCUCCGCCGUUGACUCAGAGCCUCAGAGGACAUGUGGUUGUCCUCUGCCCUGUGGUUGUGGGGGGCCCUCGCUCUGUCCGGGGCCGCCUGGGGAGGAGGGUGGCGGCGGCGUGCGGCAUCCCUGACGGGACGCAGCUGAGCCCGGAGUCCAGACCAGCGGCAGGCGGAGGGGAGCCCUGAGGCAGCUCUCCCCACAGAGGCCAGCGGAAUGGCAGGCGCGGGCCACGCUGGCAGCUGUCCCCCACCGGCCUUUAACUCUGGGAUAGCAGAAGCAGAAACAGAGCAAGUCAAACACAGGACAGUCCUUGGUCACCGUCUUCGCUCACUCACCCUAACAGCCCUCCAGGCUUCUCCCGUUCGGGAUCGGGUUGGGCAGCGGCAGGCAGAGAGGAGAAACACCGAACGGGCGAGUGUGGGGCCGGGCAGCACGGCAGGCCAGCCGUCAGCUCCUGGGGUGACGUCCUGUCCCUCCUCCCUGCACCGAG
Molecule: long non-coding RNA, 3798 nt
Organism: Enhydra lutris kenyoni (northern sea otter)
Lineage: Eukaryota; Metazoa; Chordata; Mammalia; Carnivora; Mustelidae
Exons: 5
Source: RefSeq, a predicted model, not a curated record